UCCUACGGGAGGCAGCAGUGAGGAAUAUUGGACAAUGGCCGGAAGGUUGAUCCAGCCAUGCCGCGUGCAGGAUGACUGCCCUAUGGGUUGUAAACUGCUUUUGUACGGGAAGAAACGCACCUACGUGUAGGUGUCUGACGGUACCGUACGAAUAAGGACCGGCUAACUCCGUGCCAGCAGCCGCGGUAAUACGGAGGGUCCGAGCGUUAUCCGGAAUCAUUGGGUUUAAAGGGUCCGUAGGCGGGCCGUUAAGUCAGGGGUGAAAGUCUGCGGCUCAACCGUAGAACUGCCUUUGAUACUGGCGGUCUUGAGUCGCUGUGGGGUUGCCGGAACAUGUGGUGUAGCGGUGAAAUGCAUAGAUAUCACAUAGAACACCGAUCGCGAAGGCAGGUGACCAACAACGUACUGACGCUGAUGGACGAAAGCGUGGGUAGCGAACGGGAUUAGAUACCCCGGUAGUCCACGCCGUAAACGAUGGACACUAGCUGUGGGGACUUCGGUCUCCGUGGCCAAGCGAAAGUGAUAAGUGUCCCACCUGGGGAGUACGUUCGCAAGAAUGAAACUCAAAGGAAUUGACGGGGGCCCGCACAAGCGGUGGAGCAUGUGGUUUAAUUCGAUGAUACGCGAGGAACCUUACCAGGGCUUAAAUGCAGACUGCAUAAGCUGGUGACAGCUUUUUCUUCGGACCGUCUACAAAGUGCUGCAUGGUUGUCGUCAGCUCGUGCCGUGAGGUGUCAGUUAAGUCCUAUAACGAGCGCACCCCUACCGUUAGUGCCAGCGAUUCAAGUCGGGGACUCUAACGGACUGCCGGUGCAAACCGUGAAGGAAGGUGGGAACGACGUCAAAUUCAUCACGGCCCCU
This 861-nucleotide ribosomal RNA is filed under the name uncultured bacterium. Its description in RNAcentral is "bacterial SSU rRNA". It matches the Rfam family "Bacterial small subunit ribosomal RNA", at positions 337 to 1203 of the family's 1533-position model. The record is from RNAcentral.